This 278-nucleotide unclassified non-coding RNA is filed under the name Glomeraceae sp. RNAcentral's name for it is "partial contains 5.8S ribosomal RNA and internal transcribed spacer 2". The stretch from base 1 to 71 matches the Rfam family "5.8S ribosomal RNA", at positions 84 to 154 of the family's 154-position model. The record is from RNAcentral. Lineage: Eukaryota; Fungi; Glomeromycota; Glomeromycetes; Glomerales; Glomeraceae.
GUGAAUCAUCAAAUUUUUGAACGCAAAUUGCGCUUCCUGGUAUCCCGGGAAGCAUGCCUGUUCGAGGGUCAGUAUUAACAACAAAUCGGUCUGGUUGCAAAUUGUGACGUUUCCGGAGCUUGGGCCAUCUUAACUUUUUUGGUAAAGGGGCUUAAAAUUGACUUUAUUUGCGCAUUUUUAGACGUCCAUAAAUUUUUUUUUUAUUCGUCUAUUCUUAAUGCCAUAAUCUUAUUAGAUUCGAUAAGAUCGUGUGGCUUCGUGUCCAUAAAAUUUUCAUG